GUGGGGAAUAUUGCACAAUGGGCGCAAGCCUGAUGCAGCCAUGCCGCGUGUGUGAAGAAGGCCUUCGGGUUGUAAAGCACUUUCAGCGGGGAGGAAGGCGGUGAGGUUAAUAACCUCAUCGAUUGACGUUACCCGCAGAAGAAGCACCGGCUAACUCCGUGCCAGCAGCCGCGGUAAUACGGAGGGUGCAAGCGUUAAUCGGAAUUACUGGGCGUAAAGCGCACGCAGGCGGUCUGUCAAGUCGGAUGUGAAAUCCCCGGGCUCAACCUGGGAACUGCAUUCGAAACUGGCAGGCUAGAGUCUUGUAGAGGGGGGUAGAAUUCCAGGUGUAGCGGUGAAAUGCGUAGAGAUCUGGAGGAAUACCGGUGGCGAAGGCGGCCCCCUGGACAAAGACUGACGCUCAGGUGCGAAAGCGUGGGGAGCAA
Molecule: ribosomal RNA, 425 nt
Filed under: uncultured Klebsiella sp.
Lineage: Bacteria; Pseudomonadati; Pseudomonadota; Gammaproteobacteria; Enterobacterales; Enterobacteriaceae
Description: bacterial SSU rRNA
Rfam family: Bacterial small subunit ribosomal RNA
Source: RNAcentral